AACUGUGGACGGCGUGAGGGCCAGGCGCCACCGACCUUAUUCGUCGGAGGUCUGACCGUCUCCUGGUUGCCUGACGGAGUCGUGGAGGGGCACAACGGCGCAACGCUCGAAGGACCAACUUAAUCAGGUGGGGCAAGGGAGGUUUCAACGGACUGGUAUGUCCAGGAAUGACUUCCACUCCCUCUAGAUACACCAGUCCACAAGUUCCAGAUCGGAGACAAGGUACUGGUCCGGACGUGGAAAGAUGAGCUGCUUCAGCCCAGGUGGAAGGGACCGUAUCCUGUGAUUCUUACUACUCACGCUACAGUGAAGGUUCAGGGGGUAAAACCGUGAAUACACUACAUUUGGGUGAAGGCCGCACCAGAAGUACCACCUGCAGGAGAAGUUGCUGAGAGUGUCGCACCGGAAGCCGACACAAACGGACACCGUUGGACAGCAGAGCCAGUAAAAGGACUCAAAUUUCUGUUUAAAUGUCAACCAUGUGAAAAAUAGUUCUUUGCGUAGGUAUAAUGUUUCUAGAGUCUAAGGGGUUGGUGCAUCAAAAGUUCGAUAAGAGUCAAAAUGUGUGGGUUCAUUUGGCAAAGGACGUAUUAAAUGUCACUCAUCUUUGUUUGGCAGGUGAAAUAUCGGUUAAUGAUAUUUUCACGUCAUGCCUUAUAGGGGUGCCCACUCCAAUGGAAGCACUCCGGAAUCAGACUUGGUUCACAUCUGGGGGAAUAGGAGGUCCAAUCAAUUACACUAACAACUCCAUGUGGGGAACCAUUACCACAGAAAAAACAAAAA
Long non-coding RNA from Alligator mississippiensis (American alligator), 783 nucleotides. RefSeq lists it as uncharacterized. The transcript is spliced from 2 exons. NCBI's taxonomy places the organism in Eukaryota, Metazoa, Chordata, Crocodylia, Alligatoridae. The record is from RefSeq and is a predicted model, not a curated record.